This 948-nucleotide long non-coding RNA is filed under the name Homo sapiens (human). RNAcentral's name for it is "non-protein coding lnc-CASP6-1:1". The record is from RNAcentral. Lineage: Eukaryota; Metazoa; Chordata; Mammalia; Primates; Hominidae.
UGAUAGUUCCACAGUCUUUCUUUUUCAUAACCUUGACAGUUUUGAGGAGUACUGGUCAGGUGUUUUGUAGAAUAUUCCUCAAUUUGGGUUUGUCUGAUGUUUUCCUCAUGGUUAGAGUGGGGUUAUAGAUUUUUAGGAAGAAUACCAGAGGUGAAGGUCCUUCUCACUGCAUCAUGUCAGGAGUUACAUGCUAUCAGCUUGAUGGUGUAUUAACUUUGGACACUUGGUUAAGGUAGUGUGUGUUGGUUUUUUGCUGCUGAAAAUUACUGUUAUUUUCCCUUUCCAUACUUCUGUUCUUUGGAAAACAGUCACUAAGUCCAGUCAUGGGAGGUGGUGGGUGGGAAAGAUUACAUUCAACCCCCUGGAAGUGGGAAUAUCCAUAUGUAGUAUUUGGAAUUUUUCUAUAUGGAAAAUUUGUUUCUCCCUCCCACCCUAAUUUGUUUACAUCAGUAUGGACUCAUGUAUAUUUUGUAUUUUGGGUAACACAGUAUUUAUUUUGUUGCUUAAGUUGUCCAGCUUGGCUAUUAGGAGUUCUGCCAGGUUGGCUACUAUGUCCCUUUGAUGUGCCCAUCCUUUUGAUUUUUGAGCACUUCUUACUUUCUGGCACUACAAGAUGCUCCAGGUUCAUCUUGGAUAUUCCCUGCCCCAACCCUAGAAUCCCUAGAAUCAACCCCUGCUCCAAAGAGCCCUGGUUCCUUUUGUUGGAGAAUCAUACUUAGAAACCAAGAUCUGGGCAUUAGAUGUGCUUGUUGCUACUGGGAUGUCACUGUUUGUAGCAGAGUUGAGAAAUAUGUAUGUAUAUUAAUCCAUGCAUAUGUACACAUCUAUAAUUAUUUAUGUGUGUACAAAGCUAAACAUGAGUUUGUACUGCCGUCUUCAACUCAAAAUUUGUCCCAAAAUUUUGUGGCAUAUGUUUAGAUUUUAAAGUUGAUAUUUUCCCUAUUGACA